Molecule: ribosomal RNA, 404 nt
Filed under: uncultured bacterium
Lineage: Bacteria
Description: bacterial SSU rRNA
Rfam family: Bacterial small subunit ribosomal RNA
Source: RNAcentral
UGAGGAAUAUUGCCCAAUGGCCGCAAGUCUGAGGCAGCAACGCCGCGUGGGCGAUGAAGGCCUUCGGGUUGUAAAGCCCUUUUCUGGGGGAAGAGGAAGGACGGUACCUCAGGAAUAAGUCACGGCUAACUACGUGCCAGCAGCCGCGGUAAUACGUAGGUGGCAAGCGUUAUCCGGAUUCACUGGGCGUAAAGCGCGUGCAGGCGGUUUCGUAAGUCGGACGUGAAAGCUCCUGGCUUAACUGGGAGAGGUCGUUCGAUACUGCGGGGCUUGAGGUCGGGAGAGGGACGUGGAAUUCCCGGUGUAGUGGUGGAAUGCGUAGAUAUUACACAGAACACCAAUUGCGUAGGCAGCUUACUGAGCCGACACUGACGCUGAGGCACGAAAGCGUGGGGAUCGAACAG